UACGGAGGAUCCACGCGUUAUCCGGAAUUACUGGGCGUAAAGAGAUGCGCAGGCGGUUUGUUAAGCGAGAUGUGAAAUCCCGAAGCUCAACUUCGGGGCUGUAUCUCGAACUAAUAAACUAGAGAACAAGAGAGGUACCUGGAAUUCCUUGUGUAGGAGUGAAAUCCGUAGAUAUAAGGAGGAACACCAAUGGCGAAGGCAAGGUACUGGCUUGUUUCUGACGCUCAGGCUCGAAAGCUUGGGGAGCGAACGGG
This 254-nucleotide unclassified non-coding RNA is filed under the name uncultured Patescibacteria group bacterium. RNAcentral describes it as "contains 16S-23S intergenic spacer region". It matches the Rfam family "Bacterial small subunit ribosomal RNA", at positions 524 to 776 of the family's 1533-position model. The record is from RNAcentral.